This is a long non-coding RNA of Triplophysa rosa, 1267 nucleotides long. RefSeq lists it as uncharacterized. Lineage: Eukaryota; Metazoa; Chordata; Actinopteri; Cypriniformes; Nemacheilidae. The record is from RefSeq and is a predicted model, not a curated record. The transcript is spliced from 3 exons.
CCUCCUCCUCCUCCUCCACCUCCUCCUCCUCCUACUGCUGCUCCUCUUCCAGCCAGAGAACAGCGAGCGAGAGCCGCGCGAGGGGAGGAGAGGAGGAGAGAGAGACAGAGAGAUAGAGUACGAGGGCCUAGCUCUCCCAACCCUUUCAUACUUAAGACGGAGAGAGAGAGAGAGAGAGAGAGAGGGAGAGGGAGAGAGAUGGUUCACUGUGGCUGCGACAGAGGAGGGAGAGCGAGCGAGCGAGCGAGGCGAGGAGAAAGUGAGGGAGGGAGGGAGGGAGGGUGAGAUACAGGGACAGAGAGAAAGAGAACGUGUGGUUGGAAGACAUGGUUUGGCAUGGAAGAGGAUAGAAAUGAUGCAAUUUGAUGAAGGGAGGGGGUCCGGGGUGAUCGAGUUUGUUUGCUGAUUAGCUAAUGCAUGUGUUGAAUGUAAAGAACUCAGGUGCGCCUGCUGCGGUAUACGAGAUCAGAGCGUUAAGAAGGUGCAAUUGAAAUGUCAAGCACUGGUUUCACUAGGGCAAGCGAGCUGUCACACGCUCAUCUGUCUAACUGUCUCUCUGCUUCCCUCCCUCAUCUCUCUCAUGUACACCUCUUCCUCGUGUGAGUUUAACAGAGCGAAGGUUUCUAUCACUGCCUCCACCAGUUACCGUUUUCCCAUUCAUAAAACUGGCAGCUGCGUUUGAGAGGGCAAAAAAAACACCAUGGUCGUAAUCAGAAUUCUGCGUGUUUUACAACAACCUUAAAAUGAGGAAAGCAAACCUGUGGAAGAUGUCUAUGUGAGUGUCGUAAGUCUGUUUUUCAACGGCUCUGGAACUGGUAGCAGACUAACUGUUGAAGGGGAGAAGUUGACAGAUGCUCCGCCCAAGCCGUCUAAUUUACGUCAUAUGAGAUGUUUAGUCACUCAAGGGCGGAAGUGCAUUUUCAGAUUUUAACUGAAGAUUAUGAGGGCACAUGAAUUUUAAAAAGAGAAUGACCCACACCGAUAAGCUAUUUACAAUAAACGCUACAGUAUUUAAGGGAAAAAAUUGAUUUUUUUAUUUCACUGGGACUUUAAAUUCAUCAUAUAACAGAGAUCGGUUUGAGCAGUUUUCAUCAAACAAGUAAAUAAUAAAUGUGAGUAAAGUAAAAAUGUAACCUGUAAGCUUUGCUUUGUCCUAUAGUCUCAAAAGAAAAAUGAUUGUGUAAUACUGCUGCAAAUGUAAAUAUAACCAUGCUGGACUAUAAAUAAAAAUGUAUCUUUCCAUUACAGAACCAAAUAAAGUUUUAAG